Molecule: ribosomal RNA, 250 nt
Filed under: uncultured bacterium
Lineage: Bacteria
Description: partial 16S ribosomal RNA
Rfam family: Bacterial small subunit ribosomal RNA
Source: RNAcentral
UACGGAGGGUGCGAGCGUUGUCCGGAAUCACUGGGCGUAAAGGGCGCGUAGGCGGCUCGGUAAGUAGGGGGUGAAAUCCUGCGGCUUAACCGCAGGGCUGCCUUCUAAACUGUCGAGCUCGAGCACGGUAGAGGCAGAUGGAAUUCCCGGUGUAGCGGUGGAAUGCGUAGAGAUCGGGAAGAACAUCAGUGGCGAAGGCGGUCUGCUGGGCCGUUGCUGACGCUGAGGCGCGACAGCGUGGGGAGCAAAC